CAGUAGCCACGGUAAUACGUAGGGUGCGAGCGUUAAUCGGAAUUACUGGGCGUAAAGCGUGCGCAGGCGGUUGUGUAAGACAGGUGUGAAAUCCCCGGGCUUAACCUGGGAACUGCGCUUGUGACUGCACAGCUAGAGUAUGGCAGAGGGGGGUGGAAUUCCACGUGUAGCAGUGAAAUGCGUAGAGAUGUGGAGGAACACCGAUGGCGAAGGCAGCCCCCUGGGCCAAUACUGACGCUCAUGCACGAAAGCGUGGGGAGCAAACAGGAUUAGAUACCCGCGUAGUCCCUGUCUCUUAUAU
RNAcentral lists this ribosomal RNA (301 nucleotides) under uncultured bacterium. RNAcentral describes it as "partial 16S ribosomal RNA". It matches the Rfam family "Bacterial small subunit ribosomal RNA", at positions 509 to 809 of the family's 1533-position model. The record is from RNAcentral.